Long non-coding RNA from Equus asinus (donkey), 2644 nucleotides. Lineage: Eukaryota; Metazoa; Chordata; Mammalia; Perissodactyla; Equidae. The record is from Ensembl.
CUGGCCCUGAGCUAACAUACGUGCCCAUCUUCCUCUGCUUUAUAUGUGGGAUGCCUACCACAGCAUGGUUUGCAAAACGGUGCCAUUUCCGCACCCAGGAUCCAAACCGGUGAACCCUGGGCCGCCAACGUGGAACGUGCGCACUUAACUGAGAACAUCUCCCUGGAGCCUGGGUCACCGUGGUAAUGGGUGUUUGAGCUGUUCUUCAGGAAUUAGAACCCCUUUGUUCACUUGAAGCCAGUUGAAACCACCAGCUCAUCAACUGGGCCUGUGCGGAUGUGCGAUAGGCAACCUUUUGACAUCAAGAGGCUAAAAACUCCACCUUCAGAUCAUGCCAAUGCCGCCAGUUCAUGAGCAUGCAUCCUGUGAAGAGGCAUAGAGUCUGACCAUGCUUCAUAGAUCACCUCUUACCUCACCUCUUCUCACCUCCAAUCACCUACCUCCACAUUUCAGACCACCUUUCUGCCAUCCCAUAAAUAUCCCUGAGUCCCUAUUUUUGGGGAAGUAGAUUUGAGACUCAUGCUCUCACUUCCUCACGUGGCUGCCUUGUGAUUAAACCCUCUCUCUGCGGCAAUCUCGUCAUCUUGGUGAUUGGCUUUCCGGGUGGCAGGCAAAAACAAACCUGAUGUGGUAACAGUUUUCCCAUUUGUGUAUUUUAAACCUUCUGUCAUUGCUUUAUGUUUUAUUUGGGGGGGGGGUGGUUUCAGCUUUAUUGAGAUAUAAUUCACAUACCAUAAAAUUUUCCCUUUUUAUACAAUUGAAUGUUACUUAGUAUAUUCAGAGUUGUGCGACCAUCACCACUAUAUAAUUUCAGAACAUUUUCAUCACCCCAAAAAGAAACUGUGUACCCCUUAGCAAGCACUCCCCAUUCUUUACCCUCGACCCCCUGCCAGCCCCUGGAAACCACUAAUCUACUUUCUAUUUCUAUGGAUUUGUCUAUUCUGGACAUUUCGUAUGAUUGGAAUCCAGAAACAUGUGGUCUUUUGUGACUGGCUUCUUUCACUUGUUGGUUCACAAACUGGGCCCACACACGGAGGGCAAAGAGAGAAGGAAGAAAGAGAGGCAGACACUCGAUGGAUGGGGGCAGGUUUAAUCAGUGAGGGAACUUAUGACACUUGCCUUGGGCAGCUACAAGAUGACCUCCGCACCGCCCAGCAGAAUCUUAAAAGUUUAUAUAGAAGCCUUAGUGGGGUUCAGUCAUAUAGACCAUCCAGAUGGUCUCGACAACUCAUUACUCUCUCAAGGCUAUGUCCUUGAAAACAGCUCCCACUGUGGGAAUGGUGGGGAGUGUGCAUUCCAAGGACAGGGGAGGAGUGAGAACCUUUCAAAUGCCCAGUUCUUGGGUCGAGUGGCGGUCACGUCCUCUUGAUUACCUCCUCCAACAUCACUUAGCAUGUUUUCAAGGUUCAUCCAGGUUGGAGCAUGUAUCAGGAAUUCAUUCCUUUUUAUGGCUGAAUAAUCACUCAUUAUGUGGAUACACCACGUUGUCUUUAUCCAUUCACCAGCUGAUGGACAUUUGUUUAUUUCCAUCUUUUGUCUAUUAUGAAUAAUGUUGACAUAAGCAGUUGUAUACAAAUGUUUUAAUGGUCAUGUUUUCAGUUCUCUUGGGUAAAUAUGUGGGAGUGGAAUUGCUGGUUCACGGUAACUCUAUUUUUAAUCUUUUAGAGGAACAGCCAGACUGCUUUCCAAAGCAGUUGCACCAUUUUACAUUCCUAGCAGCAGUGUAUGAGGGUUCCAAUUCCCCACAUCCCAGCCAACACUUAUUAUUGUCCACCCUUUUCCUCACAGCCAGCCUAGUGGGUUGCGGUGGAGUUUUUAUAACAAAAAGUGACAGUUAAAAGACUCUGGGUGGGGCCAGCCCGGUGGCACAGUGGUUAAGUGUGCAUGGUCCGCUUCGGCGGCCCUGGGUUCACCAGUUUGGAUCCCGGGUACAAACGUGGUACCACUUGGCCAGCCAUGCUGUGGUAGGCGUCUCACAUAUAAAAUAGAGGAAGAUGGGCACAGAUGUUAGCUCAGGGCCAGUCUUCCUCAGCAAAAGGAGGAGGAUUGGCUGCAGAUGUUAGCUCAGGGCUAGUCUUCCUCAAAAAAAAAAAAAAGACUGGGGAAGCACAUUCUCUGGUCAGCCACAGGACCCCAUCAACCACCAGCAGCAGGACAGUGGACAAUACUGACAGCACUGCCCUAUCCUCUGCCUGUGGGCUGCUCCCUGACAGUUAAUGGCAGUGGUUCCCAAAAUGUGGUCCUCAGACCAGCAGCACCAGCAGCACCUGGGAGCCAGCCAGAAAUGCUGAGUCUCAGACUCUGUCCGAGACCUCCUGAGUCAGAGGCUCUGGGUUGGGAACCAGCUCUAGUGAUCCCAGUGAGUCUGAUGCCGCCCAAGCCCAGGGGAGGCAGGCUCUGCUGCAGAGCGUCUUUGCCCCUCAGUGCCGGCUGUGCCUACCUGGUUAGUGAUGAAUAAGAUGCACCAGAUCCACCAUCCCUUGCGAGUGACGAUGACAGUGACCAAGGAGAGAGCUUUUUGAAGGAUUCAAUCAUGCAACUCAGGUGGAAGAGUUUGACACUUCCCAGGGAUGAGUGACACUGCCGAUGUAAAAUGUUCGCAAUAACUAAUUUUGGACUCAGAAAACCUAGCUGGAAGGUAAAC